CUGCUUCUCGUGCCCUCCCUGCACUUGGCCGCCGCUGUUCCGUGCCGGCAGCCUGGGGACUGGGAGCGCUCGUGCCUUGGGUACGCUGCCCCACUGGCUAGAUGCAGCAGCGCGUAGAUGUGCCCGUGGGGCCUUGCCCCGGGCAUCGCUGCUGCUGCCGCCAGCGCCCUUCGCCCGUGCCUCGGCACGGCGCCUAUGCUCACUUCCUGCAGGAGUCUGCUGGAUACCUGCAGCUGGAGCGCAGAAGGAGAGAUUUCAGCUCCUCUGGGAGUAGGAAGCUCUCCUUUGACACUUGUGCCUUAGUGUGCUUUCUGGAAGACCAUGGGUUUGCUACUCAGCAAGCAAAAAUCGUAGUGUCUGCAUUGGUCAAGGUCCUGGAGGCCAACAUGGACAUCGUCUACAAAGAUAUGGCCACCAAGAUGCAGCAGGAGAUCGCUCUUCAGCAAAUAAUGUCUCAGACUGUGAAUGUGAAAAAGAAUAUGAUUAUUUUGGAGAAGAGUGAAUUUUCAGCCCUCAGAGCAGAACAUGAGAAAAUAAAACUCAAACUACAUCAGUUAAAACAAGUAAUGGAUGAAGUGAUUAAAGUCCGAACAGAUACUAAAUUAGACUUCACCCUAGAAAAGAGCAGAGUAAAAGAAUUGUAUUCGUUGAAUGAAAGGAAGCUGCUGGAAUCGAGAACAGAAAUAGUGACAUUGCAUGCCCAGCAAGAUCGGGCCGUCACCCAGAGAGGUAGGAAGAUAGAAACUCAGGUUGCUGGCCCCAAAACCAUGCUUGAGUCACACAAGCUUGAUAAUAUUAAAUAUUUAGCAGGGUCUAUAUUUACAUGCCUAACAGUAGCUCUGGGAUUUUAUCACCUGCGGAUCUAAUAAAGUGUCUAUUUAAAGA
Molecule: RNA transcript, 885 nt
Organism: Nomascus leucogenys (northern white-cheeked gibbon)
Lineage: Eukaryota; Metazoa; Chordata; Mammalia; Primates; Hylobatidae
Gene name: mitochondrial calcium uniporter regulator 1 pseudogene
Exons: 2
Source: RefSeq, a predicted model, not a curated record